Molecule: ribosomal RNA, 468 nt
Filed under: uncultured bacterium
Lineage: Bacteria
Description: partial 16S ribosomal RNA
Rfam family: Bacterial small subunit ribosomal RNA
Source: RNAcentral
GACGAACGCUGGCGGCGUGCUUAACACAUGCAAGUCGAACGGAAAGGCCCUGCUUUUGUGGGGUGCUCGAGUGUCGAUUGUGAGUGUAUCACGUGAGUGACCUGACCUUGACGUUGGGAUAACUUCAGGAAACUGGGGAUAAUACCGGAUAGGUGCUCCUGCCGCAUGGUGGGGGGUGGAAAGUUUAGGCGGUGGGGGAUUGUCCCGCGGCUUAUGAGCUUGUGGGUGGGGUAGUGGCUUACGAAGGCUUUGACGGGCAGCCGGACUGGGAGGGAGACCGGGCACAGUGGCAUUGGGAUAGAGCCCAGACUCCUACGGGGGGCAGCAGUAGGAGAGAUUGCACUAUGGGCGGAAGCGUGAUGCAGCAGCGGCGCGUGCGGGAUAGCGGCGUUCGAGUUGUAAACCGCUUUCGCCUGUAACGAAGCGGGUGUGACGGUAAUGUGUAAAGAAGGAACGGCUAACUACGGG